GCGUAUUGGCGGCAGGCCUAACACAUGCAAGUCGAGCGGCAGCACGGGUACUUGUACCUGGUGGCGAGCGGCGGACGGGUGAGUAAUGCCUAGGAAUCUGCCUGGUAGUGGGGGAUAACGCUCGGAAACGGACGCUAAUACCGCAUACGUCCUACGGGAGAAAGCAGGGGACCUUCGGGCCUUGCGCUAUCAGAUGAGCCUAGGUCGGAUUAGCUAGUUGGUGAGGUAAUGGCUCACCAAGGCGACGAUCCGUAACUGGUCUGAGAGGAUGAUCAGUCACACUGGAACUGAGACACGGUCCAGACUCCUACGGGAGGCAGCAGUGGGGAAUAUUGGACAAUGGGCGAAAGCCUGAUCCAGCCAUGCCGCGUGUGUGAAGAAGGUCUUCGGAUUGUAAAGCACUUUAAGUUGGGAGGAAGGGCAUUUACCUAAUACGUAAGUGUUUUGACGUUACCGACAGAAUAAGCACCGGCUAACUCUGUGCCAGCAGCCGCGGUAAUACAGAGGGUGCAAGCGUUAAUCGGAAUUACUGGGCGUAAAGCGCGCGUAGGUGGUUUGUUAAGUUGGAUGUGAAAUCCCCGGGCUCAACCUGGGAACUGCAUCCAAAACUGGCAAGCUAGAGUAUGGUAGAGGGUGGUGGAAUUUUCC
RNAcentral lists this ribosomal RNA (648 nucleotides) under Pseudomonas sp. LL16. RNAcentral describes it as "bacterial SSU rRNA". It matches the Rfam family "Bacterial small subunit ribosomal RNA", at positions 33 to 672 of the family's 1533-position model. Lineage: Bacteria; Pseudomonadati; Pseudomonadota; Gammaproteobacteria; Pseudomonadales; Pseudomonadaceae. The record is from RNAcentral.